Molecule: transfer RNA, 68 nt
Filed under: Sinosolenaia oleivora
Lineage: Eukaryota; Metazoa; Mollusca; Bivalvia; Unionida; Unionidae
Description: tRNA-Ser
Source: RNAcentral
GAGAAGUGGCCGAGCCUAUAUGAGGCUUCUAACCACAUAAAGAGAGGUUUAACUCCUUUCACUUCUCU